This is a non-coding RNA of Drosophila melanogaster (fruit fly), 755 nucleotides long. The record is from Ensembl. NCBI's taxonomy places the organism in Eukaryota, Metazoa, Arthropoda, Insecta, Diptera, Drosophilidae.
AAGUGGUACGGCAUGAUUCACGCCCGAUACAUCAGGUCGGAGCGUGGCGUGAAUGAUAUGCACCGAAAGUAUAUGAGAGGAGACUUUGAAUCGUGUCAAAAUAUCUCCUGUAAUAGGAAGAACACCCUGCCAGUGGGCCUCAGCGAUGUGUGGGGCAAGUCAACGGUGAAGAUCUACUGCCCACGCUGUAAAAACUACUUCCAUCCUAAAACUGAUACACAGCCAUGUUCGGGCCCAGCUGUCCGGACAUCUUCUUAACGCAGCUGCCGAACUUGAGACCGCCCCUGGACGACCCACGGUAAGUAAUUCUCCGAAUAUAGUCCUGGUUGUUUUCUAACCAAAGCGCUUAACUUGCAGUCCCUAUGCUUUCGUUUGCACCAGAUGCAACUUGGCCUUGAUGCCACUUAAAUCGCCCAAGUCCUCACCAAUGAAUAUCAAAUCCUCGACCAGCUAGUCCUCCUCCUCGCUCCGGCAUUCCGAAGUCAAGCGCUUCAAUGUCCUUAUAGGGAUGACGUGAUUUUUUAACUCCACACAAAAGAAAGCAGAAAUGUUUUUCCGAUAUAUUGUUGUUGCAAUUAAACAGAUUCCGCAGUGCGUUGAUAUGGCCAGCUACCACCUACUAAUACACCUCAUACACCUCUGCCCUAAAUACUUGGAUCAAAGUGUUCGGUCCAAGCUGGUCAUAUCAAGCACUCAUUCGAUUAGCAAAGCAUACUUUUCGGUAAUAGUGGGAAUCACCUGGGUAUAAUAAUAAU